AGUAAUACCGUAUGUGCCCUUCGGGGGAAAGAUUUAUCGCCUUUUGGAUUAGCCCGCGUUGGAUUAGGUAGUUGGUGGGGUAAUGGCCUACCCAAGCCGACGAUCCAUAGCUGGUUUGAGAGGAUGAUCAGCCACACUGGGACUGAGACACGGCCCAGACUCCUACGGGAGGCAGCAGUGGGGAAUCUUAGACAAUGGGGGAAACCCUGAUCUAGCCAUGCCGCGUGAGCGAUGAAGGCCUUAGGGUUGUAAAGCUCUUUCAGCUGGGAAGAUAAUGACGGUACCAGCAGAAGAAGCCCCGGCUAACUCCGUG
RNAcentral lists this ribosomal RNA (313 nucleotides) under uncultured bacterium. RNAcentral's name for it is "bacterial SSU rRNA". It matches the Rfam family "Bacterial small subunit ribosomal RNA", at positions 162 to 507 of the family's 1533-position model. The record is from RNAcentral.